GCCACGGUGGUCUAGCGGUUAGAACGCUGGCCUUGUAAUCCUGGGGUCUCGGGUUUGAUUCCCGGCGGUGCCC
Non-coding RNA from Zootermopsis nevadensis, 73 nucleotides. Lineage: Eukaryota; Metazoa; Arthropoda; Insecta; Blattodea; Termopsidae. The record is from Rfam.